Molecule: ribosomal RNA, 253 nt
Filed under: uncultured bacterium
Lineage: Bacteria
Description: partial 16S ribosomal RNA
Rfam family: Bacterial small subunit ribosomal RNA
Source: RNAcentral
UACGUAGGGUGCAAGCGUUAAUCGGAUUUACUGGGCGUAAAGCGUGCGCAGGCGGUUAUGCAAGACAGAGGUGAAAUCCCCGGGCUCAACCUGGGAACUGCCUUUGUGACUGCAUAGCUAGAGUACGGCAGAGGGGGAUGGAAUUCCGCGUGUAGCAGUGAAAUGCGUAGAUAUGCGGAGGAACACCGAUGGCGAAGGCAAUCCCCUGGGCCUGUACUGACGCUCAUGCACGAAAGCGUGGGGAGCAAACAGG